UACGUAGGUGGCAAGCGUUGUCCGGAAUUAUUGGGCGUAAAGCGCGCGCAGGCGGUCCUUUAAGUCUGAUGUGAAAGCCCACGGCUCAACCGUGGAGGGUCAUUGGAAACUGGGGGACUUGAGUACAGAAGAGAAGAGUGGAAUUCCACGUGUAGCGGUGAAAUGCGUAGAGAUCCGGAGGAACACCAGUGGCGAAGGCGGCUCGCUGGGCUCUACCUGACGCUGAGGCGCGAAAGCGUGGGGAGCGAACCGG
RNAcentral lists this ribosomal RNA (253 nucleotides) under uncultured bacterium. Its description in RNAcentral is "partial 16S ribosomal RNA". It matches the Rfam family "Bacterial small subunit ribosomal RNA", at positions 524 to 776 of the family's 1533-position model. The record is from RNAcentral.